CUUUUGACCUCGGAUCAGGUAGGGAUACCCGCUGAACUUAAACAUAUCAAUAAGCGGAGGAAAAGAAACCAACAGGGAUUGCCCUAGUAACGGCGAGUGAAGCGGCAGCAGCUCAAAUUUGAAAUCUGGCUCUUUCAGAGUCCGAGUUGUAAUUUGCAGAGGGCGCUUUGGCGUUGGCAGCGGUCCAAGUUCUUUGGAACAGGACGUCACAGAGGGUGAGAAUCCCGUACGUGGUCGCUAGCCUUCGCCGUGUAAAGCCCCUUCGACGAGUCGAGUUGUUUGGGAAUGCAGCUCUAAAUGGGAGGUAAAUUUCUUCUAAAGCUAAAUACUGGCCAGAGACCGAUAGCGCACAAGUAGAGUGAUCGAAAGAUGAAAAGCACUUUGGAAAGAGAGUCAAAUAGCACGUGAAAUUGUUGAAAGGGAAGCGCUUGCAGCCAGACUUGCCUGUAGUUGCUUAUCCGGACUUUUGUCCGGUGCACUCUUCUGCGGGCAGGCCAGCAUCAGUUUGGGCGGUUGGAUAAAGGUCUCUGUCAUGUACCUCCUUUCGGGGAGGCCUUAUAGGGGAGACGACAUGCAACCAGCCUGGACUGAGGUCCGCGCAUCUGCUAGGAUGCUGGCGUAAUGGCUGUAAGCGGCCCGUCUUGAAACACGGACCAAGGAGUCUAACAUCUGUGCGAGUGUUUGGGUGUCAAGCCCAGACGCGUAAUGAAAGUGAACGGAGGUGGGAACCCUUUGGGUGCACCAUCGACCGAUCCUGAUGUCUUCGGAUGGAUUUGAGUAAGAGCAUGGCUGUUGGGACCCGAAAGAUGGUGAACUAUGCUUGAAUAGGGUGAAGCCAGAGGAAACUCUGGUGGAGGCUCGCAGCGG
Molecule: ribosomal RNA, 867 nt
Filed under: uncultured Ascomycota
Lineage: Eukaryota; Fungi; Ascomycota
Description: eukaryotic LSU rRNA
Rfam family: Eukaryotic large subunit ribosomal RNA
Source: RNAcentral